AUUGAACGCUGGCGGCAUGCUUUACACAUGCAAGUCGAACGGUAACAGGGAGCUUGCUCCGCUGACGAGUGGCGAACGGGUGAGUAAUGCAUCGGAACGUACCCAGUCGUGGGGGAUAACGUAGCGAAAGUUACGCUAAUACCGCAUACGUCCUGAGGGAGAAAGCGGGGGACCGUAAGGCCUCGCGCGAUUGGAGCGGCCGAUGUCGGAUUAGCUAGUUGGUGGGGUAAAGGCCUACCAAGGCGACGAUCCGUAGCGGGUCUGAGAGGAUGAUCCGCCACACUGGGACUGAGACACGGCCCAGACUCCUACGGGAGGCAGCAGUGGGGAAUUUUGGACAAUGGGGGCAACCCUGAUCCAGCCAUGCCGCGUGAGUGAAGAAGGCCUUCGGGUUGUAAGCUCUUCGGUCCGGGACGGAAAGUACGUAUGGGCGUAAUAACCCUGUGCGGAGUGACGGUACCGGCCGAUAAGAAGCACCGGCUAACUAACGUGCCACGCAGCCGCGGUAAGACUACGUAGUACG
RNAcentral lists this ribosomal RNA (523 nucleotides) under uncultured bacterium. Its description in RNAcentral is "bacterial SSU rRNA". It matches the Rfam family "Bacterial small subunit ribosomal RNA", at positions 29 to 534 of the family's 1533-position model. The record is from RNAcentral.